This 667-nucleotide transfer RNA is filed under the name uncultured cyanobacterium. RNAcentral describes it as "partial contains 16S-23S ribosomal RNA intergenic spacer and 23S ribosomal RNA". The stretch from base 90 to 162 matches the Rfam family "tRNA". The record is from RNAcentral. Lineage: Bacteria; Bacillati; Cyanobacteriota.
UCCCCUGGGCCAUUAGCUCGGGUGGUUAGAGCGCACCCCUGAUAAGGGUGAGGUCCCUGGUUCAAGUCCAGGAUGGCCCAUUCGGUGUUGGGGGUUUAGCUCAGUUGGUAGAGCGCCUGCUUUGCAAGCAGGAUGUCAGGAGUUCGAGUCUCCUAACCUCCACUGACCGAACUCAAUCUCCAUUUUCCGUGUAACGGGAAAUGACUCGAAAUGAGGAGUGUGAUUUGGAUGAUGUCCGCUGGAUGACCCCAGCUUCCUGUCAUUCCAAGGAUGAGUGAGAACUCAUGAUUUGGUUGAUAAGAUGCUGGGCUCAAUUCAAGUUAUUGAGCAAUCAAUGAUUUGAUUUGGAGUCUGGCAGAACCUUGACAACUGCAUAGGUGAAGUCUGGAAAAACCAAAGCAUCUCAUGGAUGCAUUGUUUUGAGUCUGAGUAUCCGAAAGGAUGCCUAGAACCAGAGCAAUGAAAAUUCUUUUGAGCAAGAGCCGAGACUCUAAAAUGUUCUUCUUGUCGUGUCGAGCGACGAGGAGUUUGAUUUUGUUUUCAGUGUCAGUGAAAACUGAGGUUGAAAACAGAAGAAUCCGUCUCAACAACGGUAAGCGUUUUAGAGAUUAAUUGGUCAAGCUACAAAGGGCUCACGGCGGAUACCUUGGCACACAGAGGCGAUGAA